CUAGCCGUGGGUACGAAGUUGGAGCAUGUGAUUAUCCAAUUGGCCCACGAGGUUGCUGAGAAACAUGUAGCAGUUCAAGGGGAUUUGGUUGUUCGACCUUCAGAUGAUCACUUCUGGUUCAACAAGCCUAAAAUUGUUCUCCUUUUGAUUCACAUCAUUUUAUUCCAAAACUCUUUCGAACUGGCAUUUUUCUUCUGGAUAUGGGUAAAGACACAGCACCAGUGCACUGCACUUCCAAACAACAUUCAGCAAAUUACUACAUGAAUAUAUGACAUUUUUCACUGACUAUUACAGGUGCAGUAUGGUUUUGACUCCUGCAUAAUGGGACAAGUUGGUUAUAUUAUUCCAAGACUUGUUAUAGGGUAAAUUCACAUCCAUGUCUAUUGCGUUUUCUACCAUAUAUAUCGAUGCACAAGUCCUAAUUAUAUGCUCUGUUUCAAUGCCAAUUCCAUCUUUUAGGGCAUUCGUUCAGUUCCUCUGCAGUUACAGUACCCUGCCACUCUAUGCCAUUGUGACACAGGUAAGCUAGAUUUUUCUCAACAGAAGCUGUUGUGGUGCCUAUCUGUCUCGAGUAAACAUAAUCCAGGACGUGUGACACAGAAAGUGUAAUUCUAUUUGUUUUUUUUUAUAAUGCAGAUGGGAAGUUCAUUUAAGAGGGAAAUAUUUGAAGAGCAUAUUCAAGAAGGGCUUGUGGGUUGGGCUAAGCAAGCAAAGAAGAAGGCAGGGUUGAGAAGGACUGCCAAUGAGUCUAGCCAUAAUCAAGUAGGUCCCAAAGAGGAGUCUCCUCUGAUUCAGAUGGCAAAGGCUGGAUCUAGGGAAACUGCAGUGGAAGAGAACAAAUCAGGAGAGAUUGUACAUGGAACUGCCUCCUAAGGAACUACCAUGGGAGUCACUCAAGAAUCAAUGUGCUUGCCAGCUCUCUACUAUAUAGGAGUACAUACGUUGAUAGAGUUGAUGCAUACAGCUUGAGUGACGUGAGGAAAUUUUAAGAUUUUAAAAUUGAAAUUUUAAUAAGAGAUGAAGAUGUAGUUUAAGAAAUCAAUCAUAACUUCUUUUAAUCUGAUUGUAUUAAAUUGGAAUUUUAAUAAAAAAUUCUAAAGAUUUUAUUUUAGAUAAUGAUUUGAAAUUUUAAGAUCGGAAAGUCAUUUAAAUAAAGUUUAAAAAUUAUUGUUCGAGAUUGUUUUUAUUUUUCUUGUUGUAUUUAGAUUUUUUUUAUUUAAAUUAAAACUUUAAGUUAAUAAGUAUUUUAUUAUUUAAAAAUCAUAAUACUAGAUGAAUUCUAUUAAUUAGAUAAGUUUUAAUUAUGAAUAUUUUUUAUAAAUAAUUUUAGUUUUAAGUUUUAACUAAGAAUCCAGGUUUUAAAGCUAAUAUAAAUAGAAGUUUUUAGUUUAUUUUUUAAAAAAGAAGUUAUUAUUAAGACUUAAUAAAACACUAGGUUUUUCUAAAAGUUUCUCUACUGGUUGUAAUAGAUUUCGUACCUGGAGCUUGGUUUUACCAACCAAAAUAUACAAUCAAGUUCCAAAUGAAUUGACGCUGAAGCAUAUUUAACAUGUAUUUGUUUUUUCACACAUGGAAGUUUCAAGACACAGAGAUGCUGAAGCAUCUCUUCUCUUACCUUGGCUUGGCUUGGCUUCCACAGCCCAGUCUCAGGUCCAUCAUAAUGAAAAGACAAAACAAGCAAGUACGACAUAAUUUUUUAUUAUUAUUAUUAUUAAUGUAGUUGUCCGGAUUAGCUUAUGUGUACAUGUCCUAAAAUUAAAAAUACUUAAAAUCACAGGAAAAACAAAUUUAUUAAUUUUAAAUUUUUAUUACUUGACCAUCUAUUAUAUAAUUAAAAAAACAUAACAUCUUAAUAUUACAUGAGCUAGACAAAAGCAUUAAUGAUCCAAAAGAUCAAGUUCAGUUGGGACUUUACAUUAGAGAACAUGGUCUGUUGCAACUGCUUCCUCUUCUCAUAAGGACACUUCUUCUCCCACCAUCAAUUCCACUACAAGAUAAAUUCAAAAAAAAACCUAUAAUAUCCAACACCCAAGGUACUGAAGAAGGGCUAAAAAUCACGAUUACACUCUCAGCUCUCUCUCUACUUCUCAUAUACGCUGCUCCAUUAUGAUUCCGCUCAGGGCUUCCCCUUCAUUUAUACCCACGUGGCUCCGCCACUGCUUGGACUUUGCAGCUCUAAAAACUCUUUCUGCCAAGCCCAAGUAGCCUCAUUGCCAAAACAAUAUCAUCCUCUAUAUCAACCUCGUAAAUAUCAGAUUCUUUGUCAAUCCGUAUUUAAAUAUCAAAUGCCUGUAAGAUUUUAGAGAAGCACAUGCUUGACUGCUGUAAACUAUAAUCUAUACUUGAAGAUGACAAUACAAAUUUGGAAUCCGCAGGGUCUAUCACAACAGCAUGUCAAGAGCAAUGCAAAAAUCCGGCUAAUUAAGAAUUCUUUUCCACGAUAUAUCCUGUUUUUACACUUACACUAGAAUUAGUCUCCGUGUCUCCACCAUGUAGGAACUUAGCAAAACUGAGAGCCCAGAUUUCAAUUUUGAUAAUAUAUAUAUGGAAUCAUCAUUUAAAGCAAUCAUUUCAUUUUUAAUUGUUAAAAUCAAAUUAAAAAAAAACAAAUUAAAAUUCACUCCCAAAAACCCUUUUAGUUUCCAAACUCUGAGCCUUAAAUAUAGUUUUUAAAAAACAUAAAUAAGUAAACCGUAAACCCGAUGCAACAACACAUAAAACUUAAAAAGGAUACGAAAUUCAUUAGUCAGGUUCCAUCCAUUAGACCAGGUCUGUCUAAUGUAAUCACUGAUAAACUAUUGAAGUAUUCCAAGUUGUCUCAUCUGUCUUAGGAUCGUUUCUAGUUACGUUGAAUAAUUCCUCCUGUACUUGAGGAACAAGUUUCUAUCUUUCUGUUAUAAUCAGUUAACCACGAUAUUACAUGCAAAAAUAUCGUGAGUUUGUUAUUUCCUUUUAUCUCAGUAUAAGGCUAUUUAUUAGCCAUUGGCAGCAGCUUAAUAAAGUGUAUUUUUCAUCUAUCCCUUUUGAUUUCUAACAAUCACAACUCUCAUUUUAAAAUGAAUGGAAUCUUGGUAGAUACCACAAAUCUACGUGUUAAAUUCAUUGAAAAAACAAUAAAAAAUGAACCUGUCUAUACGUACCUUCUUGGUAAGAGUUGAUUGGGUUAUUACCUCAGAUGAUCAAAUUAGUUUUUAUGAUCAGGGUUUUAGGGUUUAGAAUUGACUUUUUCCUCGAUGUUUAUCAGAAGAAAAAUGAUAUAGUGGAGAUAGAGAUGAUCCAGAAGGCAUGCAGCUGGUUGGGUUCUGACACAGUCAAGCAAUAAUAAAAACCGAUGAAAAUGAUGAGGGCAGCAAAUGAUGGAUUGAUCAUUAGUUGGGAACUCAGCAUGUGAAAGAGAGAUACCUCCAUGGAUAUUACUGGACCACACAACAGUGUUCUGAUAAGUCAUCGGGCCGGGGAGCAAGCAUCCAUCAAUAUACACGUGUACGUACGUGUGAUGAAUUAAUCAACUAAAAAUAUAUGAACUGAUCAGAGCACUUUCGAUAUCUGGACCUUCCCUCCCUCCCUAAAUUAUUUCGAGUUGCUGCGUUCUCUCCCAUCCAUCAACGUGAAAUUAAAAGCAGCUAGCAUGACAAGUACUGUAAUAUAUAUCUAAAUUGUUUUAAACAUUUUAUUUUUUUAUAUAAAAAGAAAAUGUUUAAACUUCGAUCAUGAUCAUGGUAUAGAUACAAUUAAUGAAGUUUACCUAUGAUACUAUGAAAUAUAUACUAUUUCUUGUCAAAUAUUGUGUGAUGCUGCAGGGUAUAUUCCUAGAUUCAUUAUUUUUAAAAUGAUCUGUCACGACCUCAUUCCCGGAUCCAUGACCUGCACAUAGGCAAGGUUCCUCUUCAAGGUUCCAUACCUAUGCGAACCCAAACUUACAUACAAACUUAUCCUAACUCAAUCAGAGUUCAACGCAGCAUUAAUAACAAACUAAACCUCAUAAUAUAAUUUGAUUGUCUUAAUACAAGAGUAAAUACAAAUUUCAUAGUUAUGGAGCACUAACUGAACAUGAAAGGAAAAUACUAAUUUCAACCAAAAAGCAGGUUCAGAAAGUUUAACAAAAAUAAUCCGCUAACAAGCUAUAAGCCUGAAAAGAUAAAUAAUGAGAGAGUGAGUUCAACAACUCAAUUAGUAAAUAAUGUUCAAUAUACACACACGAGGUAAUACAACAAUGAGAAUAUAUAUACAAUUAUGGCUCUAUGUUCUUAUAGGAAGAUUUCUCAAAUAGGCUAUAACAAGAAUAUCAUAUGGUAAAACUCGUCAGAAAAUCAAAAUACAAUGAGCAUGAGGCUUCGUACUGUGGGAUGAUCAAUCCACACAGGUUGGUGACUCCCCCGACCAACUAGGGUUCAAAUACGAUGUGUACAAAGACUAACACUACCCUGUUAGCAUGGGUAUUCUGACUGCAUACCAUAGGUUCAUAAUCAUAAUCAAACAGACAUAUUCAUAUCUCAAGGCUCAACUCAUGACAUUAAUCAAAUGAGGAGUUAUCAAUUCAGAAGUCAAUUCAAAAUAUAUAUACUGGUUCAUAUCAAUAAUUUGGAUUCAACAAUUGAUCAUGCUUUAUCAUAACAAAGAUAAUAAUCAACAUGUAUAUUAUCAAGAAGUAUGAUCCAAUUCACAUUAACAAAUCAAAUAUGUAUAAUAUUUCUCAUGCAUAUGGAAAAUUAUCCACUCACCUGACUCAAAAGCAAACAGAAGUCAAAAGCAGAUACCGAAGAAAAUCCUACUGACGUCCCACCGGUAGAAUAUCAGGAUUAUCUGAAUACAAAGGAGACAUAUUCAAGAACAACUCGAAAGAACAUAUAACCUAUUUAAUAUACCUAACUAAGAGUGUAUACCAUAACCCUAUAUGUUUUUAAACUAAAUUAGUUAUUUUUCCAUAUGCAUGAGAAAUAUGUUUUUCAAGAAAUCUAAUCCAUAAUAAAAUUGGUAAUAAUUCACUAAAUAACCCUCAAUUAUUCAUCAAACCAAACUGCAAAAGCUAAUAUUACAGCUAGGGACAAAUUUGAAAUUUAUCAUAUUUUUUAAGGGUCAAAUUGUAACUUUUGUCAAAUUGAAGGGCCAAACUAAAAAUAUUAUAAAUCCAUGACUAUACUGAAAUUAUGACCAUAAUUAAUCCUCAUUUCUGUUCAGAAUAUCUCAUUAUGCUCCAGGGACCAUCCUGGAAUUUUUUUCCAAAUUUUUAGGGUCAAAUUGUAAUUUUUUUCAAAUUGAAGGACCAAAUUGAAAGUGUUAAAAUUUCAUAACUAUACAGGAAUUCUGCCCAUAAUUCAUCUUUUAUUCUGUUCAGAAUCUCGGAAUAUACUCGAGGGACCAAUCUGUAAUUUUCCAAAGUUUGGAGACUAAACUGUAAUUUUCACAAAUUGAGGGACCAAACCGAAAUUUUGUCAUCUUCAACCUCCAACCCAGAAUUUCAACAGAAAACCUACUGUUCUUUCCAUAUUUCUAACUCAAAAUUCACCAUUUACAUAAAUCAUAACUCAAAAUUAUCAUCUUUACCUACAAUCUUCCAUAAUCAACUAAAUAAUCAAUUACCCACAACAAUCAACCCUAUAACAUUCAAAUUAAUUCAUCAAUUAAACCCAAAAUAAAAUCUUCAAAACCCUAACAUUCAUUAAAACCGAAAUUUAAAGUUCAAGAAAACGUAUUAUACACAUUUAUACAUUUAAAAACCUAAAUCUUACCUUUAAACUUAUUUUCUUCAACUCCUUUCUAUUUCUCUUUCCCUCUUUUCUCUUCUUCUUCUUCUUUCUCACUUCACUCUCACGGUUUGCUCUCUAAGAACACAGCUCUCUCUCUCUCUCUCUUUUUUACUUCCUAUUUAUAUUUAUCAUCUCUUUAUCCAAUUACUACAAUACCUCUCAUUUAAUUAUACUUUUUCUUUAAGCCUCCAAGGGCUUUGUUAUCUUUUUCUAUUUCUUUUAAAACAAAACAUCACAUGAUUAGUACUUAUUGAUCAUCGAUCAUGAAUAUAGAGAUUUGCUCAUUCAAACAUUGCUUUUUUGUAUGUACAUAGAUGUCAGAAAAGAUAAGUAGUGAGAGUCAUAGUUUUAUUUUUUAAAUUAUUUUUUAAUUGAAAAUAUAUUAAAAUAAUAUAUUUUUUAUUUUUUAAAAUUUAUCUUUUAUAUGAAUUUAUUUAAGAAUAAUAUUUCCAACACGUUCAAAAGCUGCCCUUGUGUGUGUGGACGCGCAAAUAAGAAAGAAUAACAUGCACGUAUAGAAUAAGUCCAAUGCUCCUAGUCCUAGCUACUCCAUGGAAAGCAUGUGUGUGUGCACACUGUAAAGCCCACGACGACUCCACAAGAGAAUAUUAAUCUCCAUGUGAGCUUUGUUUUCGAACUUUACGUGUAAGUUAACCCGAGCUUAAAGCCUUGUCUCGAUAAAAAUAGAGGGAGGGAGGGAGGGAGGGAGAAUUGGCCCUACAUGACUCACGUGACUCGUAAAAAACCCAUUACCUAGUUAACUCGGGAAAAUAGAAUUCAUGUAAAAGUCAACCAGUAUUUGAUGGCUGUCUACAUCACGCGAAUCCAGUCCGUGUAAUAAAACGCGGUGUUUUCUGUUUUUUAAAUGGGUAAUAACACGGUUUCCAACUCAUUGUUAGUCCUAAAGUUAGGUAGGUCGUCAAGACUUCAUUGACGUGUCUAUUGGUAUUGCAAUUUUUUUUUAUUUAAAAAUAUUUUUUUAUUAUUAUAUUAAAAAACACUAAAAAUUACAUUAAUUUAAUAUCCACCACACUUUUAAAAAAACUAAAAUCAGCUCCCAAACAGGGUAUUAAAAUUUUAAAAAAAAAAUCAUUUGUUGUGGCGGUGGUUUGCUCUGUUAUCGUUCUUGUUACAGGCUCAGCGGCAGCAAGAGGAGGCAGAGAAUAAUAUCGAAAAAACUUAUGGCAGAAGGAGGGACUACCUUAGAGUAUACCCCCACAUGGGUUGUGGCUGUGGUUUGCUCUGUUAUCGUUCUUAUUUCUCUUAUUGUUGAAAGAACCCUCCACUACCUUGGCAAGGUCACCCAUCAUCAACACUCUCUCCCUCCCAUAUACAACUAUAUAUGUUAUGUUGCAUGAUCAGUGAUCAAUUCAUUUAAUCGCCAUGAAUUGUUCAUCUUUCUUGCUGCAUAUACAUGGAAGAGAAUUAAUACUCAUGUGCGCUAGUACUGAUCAUCGUCCUGAUAAAUAUAUUCAAUAACGUUUCUAUCCCUGGCUGUCUCCAGUUGUUGAAGAGGAAACACCAGAAACCGCUCUUUGAAGCCUUACAGAAAAUCAAAGAAGGUAAAAUAAUAAUAUUCAUAUGAUUCCUAUAUAUAUAUGGUGGGCGCGCGCGCGCGCAGAUUGAUGUGUAGAAUCUUGAUUUUGAUGGUGGUGGUGGUGCAGAGUUGAUGCUUUUGGGGUUCAUAUCACUGCUACUAACAGUGUUCCAGGGAAGAAUUAACACUAUCUGCAUUUCUAAAGAUUUGUCAAAAAAAAUGCUGCCCUGCAAGGACGAAAGCAAAGAAACCACUACUGCCCAUUUUCAGACUUUCUUUUCCUUCGUUCCUGGUGGGAUUUCCCGUCGCCUUUUGGCCGAGGCCUCCUCUGCUAAUUCUUGUUCCGAGGUAAUCAAUCACUCCUUCUAUAUGUUCUUAUUUUUUUCAUCACUGGUAGUGAGCAUCAAGUAUACAGUUAUCAAAAGUAGUAAUCAUAAGUAAUAUUAAUUUGGGUGGAGUGGUUGGCAAGGCAUCAUGGAUAUGAUUCCGCAUGCACCAACCACGUUUCCUUUUUCUCUUUUCUUCGAAUAAAAAAAGACCUCUAAUUAUAUUAUCGUGUUGUGGGGGACAUGAGACAGGACUUGGAUAGGUCUACAAUAAUAUAAUAUAAUCAGGUUGAGAUAUAGAUAAUUACACGUAAAACUGAAAACUUACUUUCGAUUAUCAGUAAUAUAUUAGAGUUCUUGCAGCUCGGGAGACGCUCAGACCUCAACUGAAUUAAGUCUGAAGAUGUUCGAUGCUUAAUCUGGAUUGUAAUAUUUGGCUUUACUUUUUCUAGUCAAUGGAAAAGAGAGUUUUCGGGAAGAUGUAAUGACCUGUUUGGCACCCUUGUUUGUAACUAUUGUAACCUCUUUUUCCAUAGAGACUAUAGUUCCUGUUCAUUCAAUUAUGAUUAGCCUUACAAAAUUGGAGUAAUUAGGCCUAGCUACUAUACUUGCUUCUUCUAAAACCUUCAAUUGCUUGUAUCUGUUCGACAGAAUUUCAUUAGCCAUGACAUCUCUGUAGUGAGAAGAAAUAGCUUGUUAGUUUAGUUUCAAAAUCAUGCUCUCACAAAUAUUCAGGAUUACUCAUUGCUCACUGUCCCUUAAUUAAUGGUGUUUGACAGUUGAAACCACAUGCAGUUUUAGAUGCCUUGCUUAAGCAUAUAUAAUAUGAACAUCGCUUGUAGUAUAGACUGUGCUUUGUCCUUUGAAGUAUGGAUUUAAGCAAGCAGCAUUUCUUUUUUGGAUAAUUAAUAGCUUCAAUAAAAACAAAGUUUGAAACACAUUUGACAGGACUAUGUGAAUUCAUGUGUCUUGUAAGAAAGAAUUUGUGACCUUUUUAAGCCAUGUGAUCUAAUGGAAAAUUCAUAUUUAUAAGUGCGUGCCUAACAUCUUUCCUUUUUCAUCACGUUGCAGGGAAAGGUUCCAAUGUUAUCUACAACCGCACUGCAUCAUCUUCAUAUAUUUAUCUUCGUGCUAGCUUGUGUGCAUGUGGUAUUCUGUGUUCUAACCAUUCUUUUUGGAAGCGCUCGGGUAACUUCCACAUAUUCAUUUGCCUUUUUUCCCUCUAACUUUUUGUCUAGAUUUUGCAUUAUUUUCUGAUCCCUCGUAUUGAAUACUGUUUGUUAAAUGUCUUCGCUGGUGCAGAUAAGGCAGUGGAAACUUUGGGAGGAUUCUAUCUCAAAAAAGGAACAAGAUCCGGAAGAAGGUAAUGCUUGUUAAUAGCUUUAGUUUGCUUGUCCUUUUACAUGCUUGUUCUCCUGAGAAUUUUAUCAUAGUUAUACUGAUUUAACUUCAGAAUGAACUGAUGUCAUUCCUAUACUUUCUUCAAUAGCCAACUCCUCCUUUUGUUGAUUUUCUUCUUACUUGUGCUAAUAUAUUGCAGCUCAAGGUCCAAAGUUUACUCAUGUUAAAGACCAUGAUUUUAUCAAGUCACGAUAUCUGGGUUUUGGAAAGAAUUCCUACAUCCUGGGUUGGGUGGUAAGCCCUUCCACAAGUUCAGAUACUAAAACUAAUAGAAAUUACAAACACUUUGACCUGUUCUACAUUAAUAUUCUGAUAAGAAAAAAUUGCUUUACCUUAAUAUUUUGAAUUGAAAUGUGUCCUGUCUGAGGAUGAGUUUCUGACUCCAAGAAAACACUCCCCUGUGAGUUUCACUUAAAAAGUGUCUGAAAAAUAUGAAAUAGAAAAUUUAUCAUAGCAAGUAGCUCUUAGCUGCAAAAGUGUGCCCUCUAUGCGUGCAGAAUUAAUGGCAGUCUUGUGCAGUAAACAUUAGUCAGCUGGGGUUAAUAAAAUUAAAUAAUCAUGUGUUAUGAACUUAUGAUAUGUGUGGCUUUCUUCAUAUCAGAAGAGUACGUCUCGGAAAUUACUCAUCCUACUUAAUUUAUUUUUCAGCAUUCAUUUUUCAAGCAGUUUUAUGCAUCUGUAACAAGAUCCGAUUACACCACGUUGCGACUGGGCUUCAUUAUGGUGAGUUUAGGACUCUAUUCAUGCAAAUUUCUGUGUUUCUUUCCAUUUUUAACAUUUUUCUACAGACUCAUUGCAGGGGAAACCCGAAGUUUGAUUUUCACAAAUACAUGAUGCGAGUCCUCGAAGCUGACUUCAAGAAAGUUGUUGGAAUAAGGUUUGUAAUUUUCACAUUAAUCUAAUCUUAAUUUAUGCAAUGUAAACUAAUUUAUCAUGGAGAAUUACAUUACAUUCAUGCAAUUUGAAACUGCUAGUGUUGCAUGUUCCGCUUUUUCAAAGAGCAUAUCAUCAUUUCAUUAAGUAGUUCUUCUGCGCAAAGUGAAUGCGCUAAAUUCUGGUUUCAUGGCUGCAGUUGGUAUCUUUGGCUAUUUGUGGUUAUCUUCUUGUUUCUGAACGUUUCUGGUAAGCUAGUUAAUUUUGUUUAUCAAUAACUAGAGCAUCAUUUUGCAUCUCUUAUAUUGAAAUCCGUUCUUUUAGUAGCGGAGCACGCCAUUUUUUUUAAUGCAGCACAACAGAGUGGAAUUUGGCAGUUAGGAUAAUAGCGGAGCACGCCAUUUUUUUUAUGUAUUUGAUAUUAUAAUAGCUUUUAUGGUUGCCGUUUAGCAUUACCACGCAAAAUUGUGGUGCAUGUUAAGUAACCAAACAUUUUCAAAUUUAUAAUUGAGGAACAUUUAGAAUUAGAAUGGAGAAAACCAAAAAGUUUUGAUUUCCAAAACAUAAGAUGUGUUAAUGACAAGCCAAAACCUUUUCUUUUUCUCACUUUUAAAGCCCUAUUUGUAAGUUUUGCUGAUAAAAAAUAUUAAUUAAGCCGAUGCCAUAUUCUCUGUUUCCAUCCUUUCCUGCUGUAUGAAAUCAUUACGUAACACAGAAGGUUGUGUUAAAUCCAAUAUUUUUGGUAUGCAGGUUGGCAUGCAUAUUUCUGGAUUGCAUUCAUACCCUUCAUUGUAAGCUGCCCAAUCCUAUAUUUUUUGCUUUUAUUAUGCAUGAAAUUGAAGUUGAUGGAGAGUUUAAUUUAAUUUAUUUUUUUAUUAUGAUGGUGCUCUUUUUGCAGCUUCUGCUAGCCGUGGGUACUAAGUUGGAGCAUGUGAUUAUCCAAUUGGCCCACGAGGUUGCUGAGAAACAUGUCGCAGUUCAAGGGGAUUUGGUUGUUCGACCUUCAGAUGAUCACUUCUGGUUCAACAAGCCUAAAAUUGUUCUCCUUUUGAUUCACAUCAUUUUAUUCCAAAACUCUUUCGAACUGGCAUUUUUCUUCUGGAUAUGGGUAAAGACACAGCACCAGUACACUGCACUUCCAAAC
Molecule: long non-coding RNA, 11028 nt
Filed under: Populus trichocarpa (black cottonwood)
Lineage: Eukaryota; Viridiplantae; Streptophyta; Magnoliopsida; Malpighiales; Salicaceae
Description: long non-coding RNA (PTRI_LNC003720)
Source: RNAcentral